CAUCCCCUGCGGUGUUCGAGGAUGGAUCUGAAUAUUUCUUGAGCCAUACAAAUGUCCAGGGAGCUGUGUGUCAGUGUCAUGUGCAUGUCCGCUAGCCGGAAAGCCUGAGGCAUUGACUAGGUUCCCACCUGAACCAUUGGUUCAAGGACGACGAUCUAAUUACGGCACAGGCGGGGGAUAC
Molecule: non-coding RNA, 181 nt
Filed under: Gammaproteobacteria bacterium
Lineage: Bacteria; Pseudomonadati; Pseudomonadota; Gammaproteobacteria
Description: 6S RNA
Rfam family: 6S / SsrS RNA
About the family: E. coli 6S RNA was the first non coding RNA to be sequenced, but its function was unknown until recently. It consists of 184 nucleotides that fold into an extended hairpin structure with a large single-stranded internal bulge.
Source: RNAcentral